RNAcentral lists this small RNA (530 nucleotides) under Pongo abelii (Sumatran orangutan). RNAcentral's name for it is "retained intron". The record is from RNAcentral. Lineage: Eukaryota; Metazoa; Chordata; Mammalia; Primates; Hominidae.
CAUCAGCAUCUACUCCAUAUAGACAACUAAAAAGGCACCUUUCCAUGCAGUCUUUCGAUGAGAGUGGACGACGUACCACAACCUCAUCAGCAAUGACAAGUACCAUUGGCUUUCGGGUCUUCUCCUGCCUGGAUGAUGGGAUGGGCCAUGCAUCUGUGGAGAGAAUACUCGACACCUGGCAGGAAGAGGGCAUUGAGAACAGCCAGGAGAUCCUGAAGGUGUGGCAGCUAAAAUUGAGAAAAAUGACAAACCGGAGAAGGGUUGAAAAUUUUCAAUUUUUUUUUUUUUUUGGAAACUGUGAUUUGAUUUUAUUUCUCCUUAAUGGUACUUCUGUUCACAAAGUCUCAAAGAUAAAAGGUAACUUUUUUGUAGCCCUUUUAACCAGGAGCCUUUUGUUAAGUACUUUCCAUGUUUUUAACCCCCAGAUUAUUGACAUGAGAAAUACUCUUACAAUUGUGUUUAUUUACAGGGCCAGAUAGUUUUGUCGUCGUUGUUAUUGUUUUUUGGUUUUUGGUUUUUUUUUUUUUUUU